Long non-coding RNA from Bombina bombina (fire-bellied toad), 278 nucleotides. RefSeq lists it as uncharacterized. NCBI's taxonomy places the organism in Eukaryota, Metazoa, Chordata, Amphibia, Anura, Bombinatoridae. The record is from RefSeq and is a predicted model, not a curated record. The transcript is spliced from 3 exons.
UAGAGAGAAAAAUAACGGUGGAAAAGCUACAGCAAAAUCAAUUUGGAGAGCAAAAGAGUGAAGAAACAGACAUCGAAAUUGAGUAAGAUUUUCAAUAAAAAAUGGCAUCAACCUAUGGAAACUUUACUGGAAGAACUCUUCUAGAACUGAGUCAACAAGAGGUGCAAGACAUGAUGCAAAAUCUAAUUAGUGAAUGUAACGCCGAGAUACAACAAAUAGAUGUUUCCCAAAGUCAUCAAUAAGAUCCUAGAAGACCUGUUGAAGAAUUAGAAAGGGAC